Xenia sp. Carnegie-2017 is the source of this 936-nucleotide long non-coding RNA. RefSeq lists it as uncharacterized. Lineage: Eukaryota; Metazoa; Cnidaria; Anthozoa; Malacalcyonacea; Xeniidae. The transcript is spliced from 2 exons. The record is from RefSeq and is a predicted model, not a curated record.
ACUUGAUUUGUCGCUGAAAGUUUCGGUUUUGUUAUAAACUUUGUGUUAGGAGCAACUCAGCCACAAAUUUACCACUCUCUACACUAUCUUCGUUUAAUUCAUAAGCAAUAAACCAUCUAAAGCUCUCAUUUCAUCAAUACUAUGUAAUAAAAAACCCCAUUAAUGCAUAACAAUUUCCUACCACUGUAUAACAUAAACGAUGCAUAAAGUGUGUUUCUUCUGUUUCCGAUUUUUCGAGUGUCUUCGCAGUGUUCGACAUAAUUAACUUCAUGGUUACUACCCCAAAGGAACGCUUGCAAAUUCUUUUCUUGUUUUGACCAACACAGCCACCAAUGAUGGAUACUUUUCACUCCGUGUGGCAAAAUGGUACACAACUUGCCAAGGACAUAAUAUUAUCAGGAUAAUCCUUUCAAGAGAGACGCCUCUAGAACUAUAUUGUAUUCAGCCAGCGACCCAAGACAAAUAGAGAUCAAAGGAAACCACUUUUCCAGUGAAUGAUCCCUAAAAAGAAAAACAGAAAAUCCUUGUCAAUGUCGUUCAUUUGGAAGAUAAAUACAAUCCAUGGACCAUGGUAGGUUAAGAUCCAUGGAGGCUAUGUAAUGAUGGUUAUGACAAAGAUGACAGUUGAUGUUAUCAAUAAGGAUUGUUGACUGUCCUAUAUGACAAAUAGCGCCAUCAAUACGAAAGAUGAUGAUGAUGAUGACGAUAAUGUUGACGUUGAUGACGAUGAUGAUGACAAUGAUAUGAUGAUGACGUUGAUGACGAUGACGAUGUUGAUGACGACAAAGAUGAUGAUAUGGAAAAUAAUGACGACAAUGAUGGUUAUAAAAAUGACACUAAAAUGAGAAAUAAAAUAAUACCUUACACCAAGACAAAUGAACGUUUGAAACUAGAAAAAAAAUAAACUUUAACGUGAAUUCUUCACAGAAGAGGAAA